CACACAGUUGUAAAAUGGCGUAUAUGGCGCAUCUUACAUCAUGUGAAUUUUUUUAACCUUAAAAAAAAAGAUCCAUGUGUAGCUUUGCCAUUGGUUUCUGCCUUAUAUGUGUUGGAAUCCGCCCCCCCCGCUUCUUUUUUGCAAAUAUGUGGGAAAGCUGAAGGGGAGAGGGUUAAUAUUUUCACACACUCACCCCUCCCCCACAUGCAUACACUAACAGCUGCCAUGUAUGAUUUUGUGGAAUUUGAUAUUUUGAACGAAAUGACUUCCUUAUUUUCCAUAGUAAUAUAAUAAUCAAUUUUACCAUAGAGAACUGUGUACAUGUCAAGCCUUGGCUGCCCCUAAUUAGCAAUGGAUGGGGAGCAGGGGAAAGAGCUGAAGAGCAGUUUUGAGUGAAAAGCCAGCCAUCGAGUUUUAACCAUUCUUUCUUGCCUCAGCCAAGGCAGUUCUCAAUCUGCUUGCAUUCUGACCGAAGUUUUGAUUUGUGGUGAUCUGCGAAAAUAUCUACACAGACACGAGCACAUGUAACUGAGACAGGCCUGUCUGUUGUUGCUUUUUGUCUUUUAUCUCCUCUCCAUAGUAAUUUUUAUACAGUCUACAGCUUCGUAAAAUAGAGGCAAAAGUCAGAAGCCACCGACAUAGAAUAUUCUCUGCCUUAAGUGGCACCUGUGUUUUGUUGUCAGAAAGGUGCAUUUCUUUCUUUCUCUUCUUUUUUUUUUUUUCUUUUUAGGGCUGAAUCUGCGGCACAUGGAAGUUCCCAGGGUGGGAGUCACAUCAGAGCUGCAGAUGUUGACCUACGCCAAAGCCACAGCCACAGCCACAGCAAUGCCAGAUCCAAGCUGCCUCUGCGACCUACACCUCAGCUCCUGGCAACACCAGAUCCUCAAUCCACUGAGCGAGCCCAGGGAUCAAACCUGAAUCCUCAUGGAUACUAGUCGGGUUCCUUACUGCUGAGCCACAGUAGGAACUUCGGAAAGGUGUAUUUCUUAUGGCACCAGAAACGUCCAUCCACUUUCUCAAAUAAAUAAUUAUACAGUACGCUUAUAAAGUUCCAGCCAUACAAUUCUCAUUUACUCAAGGAAUUUAAAAGGAUUAAACAGCACACAUUCCCAGUACACACACAGAAAUAUAUACCUCAUACUCCACAAGGAAUCACUUAGCAUAUUCUACUAAGGUCUCUGUUCCCAUAGGCUUAGAGACUGUUAUAAAUUCAAGUGAGUCGAAUAGGUAUUUGUUCAGUGCCUCUAAUUUGCAGGGCACCGAGCCAGACAGACAUUCAGGAAUUUGAAAGAUUUUAGAAUGUGGAUGAUGUCUUCAAGGUGCUUAUAAUUUAGGAGGCAAGAGUCAUUGCCAGCCAACCUCACCUGGCUUUCUAGAGCAGAGACUGUACAUACUCUGAGGCAGGUCUUGCCGCAAAAAAUAUUUAUUGAACUCUGUGAAAGAUGCUUCAGUAGAGCCAAGAAAUAUUGAUUGAUUGCCCACUGCGUUUGUGACCUUUGGCAGACUGAUAAAAAGUUCAGUCUUUAUUCUUAAGUGCAAUUUAAGACAGAUAGCCAUGCUGUUAGUAGUGACAAAAACAGUGUCGCAGUGGUUAACGAAUCCGACUAGGAACCAUGAGGUUGCGGGUUCGGUCCCUGCCCUUGCUCAGUGGGUUAACGAUCCGGCAUUGCUGUGAGCUGUGGUGUAGGUUGCAGACGCGGCUCGGAUCCCGAGUUGCUGUGGCUCUGGCAUAGGCCGGCAGCUACAGCUCCGAUUAGACCCCUAGCCUGGGAACCUCCAUAUGCCGCGGGAGCGGCCCAAGAAAU
RNAcentral lists this long non-coding RNA (1805 nucleotides) under Sus scrofa (pig). RNAcentral's name for it is "lncRNA (ENSSSCG00000046256.1)". The record is from RNAcentral. Lineage: Eukaryota; Metazoa; Chordata; Mammalia; Artiodactyla; Suidae.